CCCCACCCGGGCUCCCACGCCCCAACCCACAAUGCUCUCGUCUCUUCUUCCACGCCGCUAGGGUUACCCGCCGAUGACGUCGGUCCCUGUUGUAGCGGGUCCUAGCCUCCUCCGCACUGCCACUGCGAGUCCCGCCACCGGUUCCAUCCUCCGCCGCCCCGCCGCCACUGGGCCCUCCUUCAUCGCCCCCACCCCUCAUGCAAUGACACCACCUCCAUAGGGAGUUGCACCGCCGCCGCCGGCACUGCUACAUCCUGGCACACCCUCCACUAGAGCUCGACGUAGCUGCACGGUCUGUGCUGCACGCAGCCACACCACCAUCAUUCCGCUUCCGGUCUCUCUGCCCCAUCUUCCCCAAGAGAUGCAGGGAGGGAGGGGCAACCAUGGACUGCAUGAGAAGGCUUGGCUGCAAACCAAUGCACGUGGGGAGGAGAGAUGCAAGCCACACCAUGACAUGAAGAUCUAUUUGGGGUGAACGACAAGUAGGCGGAUAAGCCGGUCGCCAAGGGGAAUAAGGGCAAGGCCGGGAAGGACGCCAACAAUCUCAAGAGAGCGACGUGCGCCUUCUUCGUCUUCAUGUAUGUCAUCGCCACAGACGGGCGCCCCUUGCUUCCUUCGUGUUACCCUGCUCAGAUUCUGUUUUUCUAUUGUUGUUUACCCAUGAUUUUUGGGUGUCCGUUGUUGUGAACCUGGUGUUUGUUGGUUGUUUGCUGCGAGGGGCAAGUUCCGCGAGGAGUUCAAAUAGAAGAACCUCAAGAACAAGUCCGUCGCCGAUACCUACGAAGCAGCUGAUGAGAUGUGGAAGAGCUUGUGAGGAUAGGAAAAACUCCCUAUGAGGCCAAGUCUAACAAGCUCAAGGGCGAGUAAAACAAGGCCAUUGCUACCUACAACAAGGGCAUGGUACAGAUCUGCACACCCUUGUGAUUGGAACUUGCUGCGUUGUGUUUAAAUGGCAAGCCAGCUAUGUCCUCGCCGCCUCUUCCCGACCCCGGCAUGAUUGUGGCUCCCUCCUGUGGUAUCCUAGACAGCGCCGCAACCACGAUGGCGGUUGUGCAUGACAUAUUCUUCAAAACUCACAUGGUCAGCUUCAUCCCCUCCCUUCUUCCUCCUUUGCCUCCCUCCUCUCUGUUCUGAAGCUUGUGUUGUACGUGCAAUAGCAGUAGCAUGCUCCGAUUCAUGUCCAUUGAGUCAUUUAUUAUAUCAAUUAGAAAUCUCUAGCUAUGUCCUUUCUAGAUUUUAUUUAGUAAAUUUGCUAUCAACCCAAUAACUAGAUUUUGGUCACUCAACUCGUGAUUGGUAUUUAUCUAAAUGGUUGGAGAGCCUGUAGAAAUGGGCUCUUUCAUUCUGAAUUUGUUUCCUUUGACAUCCAAUACAUGCUUAGGGUUUAUGAAUCUUGAGGUAAUUAAAAACCUUAAUUCUUAGUGCCCGCAAUACUUUCCUGAUUAUAGUUGUGGCAUGUUAUUUCAGUUAUAGCACAACUGAAAAUCUUUAUUGAUGUCUUUUCUCGCUUUUGACAUAUAUAUUACUCAAUCUUUGUGAGACAAUUCCUGAGUUGGUGUUUAUCUAGGAUGGGUGGAGAGCCCAUAGACAUGUGCUAUUUUUUUUAAAUGUAUUUGUUUGCAUUGACUCGCAGAAACUGUUAGCAGAUUCGACAUCAAAACAUUCAUGGCUUUUGUCUUAGCUUGAUUUUUAAAACAACAUUGUCCGCAUUCAUGGUUCUGGUAUUAGCUUGAUUUUGAACCAACAUCAAUUAGUAUGAUGUUUAAUGUUUGUAAGUGCUUGACAAGUUUAUUUGGUUGAUAAAAAUGCCUUUAGUAUGAUGAAUGAUGCUCUCGAGUCUAAAUCUAUUUGAUAUGAUGAAUCUAAGUCUGAACCUCUUUCUUGUCUGGUUAAUUGCUGUGGACACUCGGGGUGGGCAUAAAAACCGACGAACCGAAGACCGAACCGAUACCGAAAUUAAAAAACAUAAAUUUCGGUUUUUGAUGAUGGAACAGAAAAAUCGGUUUUUAACUGUGCAAACCGAACUUACUUCGGUCAGUACAGGCUUUAGCUCGGUUAGCCGAAAAAGAAACCGAACAUGGGUCACGACUGCGAACCUUCGGUAAUUUCUCCAGCGCUACGUAAUCUCUGCAGCACGCGUCGGCACUAGCGAGAAGAAAAUUUAAAUGGCCCAAGUCGACCAACCAGCGUGCAAGGCCCAAGCUGUUAUGGGCUUUCUUUUUCUCUACUUCUGCGUGCACGCGAUUAGUGACCACAUUGUAUGCACGCCUGGCGGGUUGAUUGUUACUUAGUUUAGUCCCACCUCGGCUGGACAUACAGAAGGAGUUGGAGUCCUAGCUUAUAUAAGAGCGCACGUGGAUGGUAGCUGCUACAAAGCUGAAAUUCUUAUUUCAUUCAGCGGUUAGUUAUUUUAUAAAGUAUUUUUCGGUUUUCAAUUUUGCUAACCGAAAUUAUAAAAAAACGAAUGGUAGAAACCGAAUUUUCGGUUUCGGUUUCUACCGAACGCCCAGGCCUAGUGGACACAUGGAGAAGGGAUGGAGCAUCAACGAUAAUUCGUCACACGGGCUACACGCAACGUGAUGUGGUGCUUUCAUCCCCUUGAUAUAGCGAUUAGUUGUGCUUGGUUUCCUUUCAAGUAGCAUAGUUGGAGUUUAGCAUGUGUGUAUAGGCUAAUGGUCGCAAGGCUAGCUUUUGGAGUGUACAUGACUUGAAAAUGCAUAUAACGAUUAGUUGUGCUUGGUUUCCUUUCAAGUAGCAUAGUUGGAGUUUAGCAUGUGUGUAGAGGCUAAUGGUCGCAAGGCUAGCUUUUGGAGUGUACAUGACUUGCAAAUGCCCAGCUAGCUGUGAUACUUUUGUGAUCUCAUAUGCUUGCCCUAUGAUAUAUAUCGAUAUUUUCUAUGGAUUACUUUGCUUCCAUGGAUCAAUAUUAUUAUAUUUUUGAUAUAUCUUGUGUAUUCAAGUGCAAUAAGGUUUUUAUUUAAAAAGAUAUGUGCAAAAGUUUGCCAUCAAGAUUGACUCAGCACCAAAUUACCCAGGCGUCAACUCUUUGCCGUCUACUAGGAGUACUAUAUGACGACAAACCUGCUUCUUUGUCGUCUUCUAGGAUAACAGCUGACGGCAAAACUAUUUUCUUUGCCGUCUGGCAUUCCGGUUCAGCUGAUAGCAAAGAGUUAACACCGUUAGUUAGUGGGUGGUUUCGUUAGGCUACUUUUUUAUCAUGUGCCUCGUAACAGCUGACGACAAACCAUUUUCACUAAAGGCAAAUUUUGUGCCGUCUGCCCGACUAAAUGCUGACGACAAAAUAAUCCUUUGCUGACUUAGUGUAUGCCGACAUGCUUUGCCGUCAUGGGCUGACAGCAAAAUCUUUGCGGUUAGUAAUUUUGUCUUUAUUGUCUGUAGCAUCCUAACGACAAAAUGCGUGAUUCCUGUAGUGAAUGAAGAACAUAGAGAAAGAGAGAGAGAGACAUAGCCAUCUAGGUACUAAC
Molecule: long non-coding RNA, 3485 nt
Organism: Hordeum vulgare subsp. vulgare (domesticated barley)
Lineage: Eukaryota; Viridiplantae; Streptophyta; Magnoliopsida; Poales; Poaceae
Exons: 5
Source: RefSeq, a predicted model, not a curated record